UACGUAGGUGUCGAGCGUUGUCCGGAUUUAUUGGGCGUAAAGCGCCCGCAGGCGGCUUGCCAAGUUUGAAGUGAAAUCUCCCGGCUCAACUGGGAGGGUGCUUCGAAAACUGGCAGGCUUGAGGCAGGGAGAGGGAUGUGGAAUUCCCGGUGUAGUGGUGAAAUGCGUAGAUAUCGGGAGGAACACCAGUGGCGAAGGCG
RNAcentral lists this ribosomal RNA (200 nucleotides) under uncultured bacterium. RNAcentral's name for it is "partial 16S ribosomal RNA". It matches the Rfam family "Bacterial small subunit ribosomal RNA", at positions 524 to 723 of the family's 1533-position model. The record is from RNAcentral.